This 24-nucleotide non-coding RNA is filed under the name Arabidopsis thaliana (thale cress). The record is from RNAcentral. Lineage: Eukaryota; Viridiplantae; Streptophyta; Magnoliopsida; Brassicales; Brassicaceae.
CUACUUCGGUUGUCAGAAUUAUGC